GUGGCUGUAGCUCAGUUGGUAGAGCAUCUGGUUGUGGUCCAGAAGGUCGCGGGUUCAAGCCCCGUCAGCCACC
Molecule: transfer RNA, 73 nt
Filed under: Boudabousia marimammalium
Lineage: Bacteria; Bacillati; Actinomycetota; Actinomycetes; Actinomycetales; Actinomycetaceae
Description: Actinomyces marimammalium tRNA
Rfam family: tRNA
About the family: Transfer RNA (tRNA) molecules are approximately 80 nucleotides in length. Their secondary structure includes four short double-helical elements and three loops (D, anti-codon, and T loops). Further hydrogen bonds mediate the characteristic L-shaped molecular structure. tRNAs have two regions of fundamental functional importance: the anti-codon, which is responsible for specific mRNA codon recognition, and the 3' end, to which the tRNAs corresponding amino acid is attached (by aminoacyl-tRNA synthetases). tRNAs cope with the degeneracy of the genetic code in two manners: having more than one tRNA (with a specific anti-codon) for a particular amino acid; and 'wobble' base-pairing, i.e. permitting non-standard base-pairing at the 3rd anti-codon position.
Source: Rfam by way of RNAcentral